Molecule: ribosomal RNA, 378 nt
Filed under: uncultured archaeon
Lineage: Archaea
Description: bacterial SSU rRNA
Rfam family: Archaeal small subunit ribosomal RNA
Source: RNAcentral
CCGACGGUGAGAGGUGAAAGCUGGGGGAGCAAACCGGAUUAGAUACCCGGGUAGUCCCAGCCGUAAACGAUGUGCGUUAGGUGUAUCGGUGACCACGAGUCACCGAGGUGCCGAAGAGAAAUCGUGAAACGUACCGCCUGGGAAGUACGGUCGCAAGGCUGAAACUUAAAGGAAUUGGCGGGGGAGCACCACAACAGGUGGAGCCUGCGGUUUAAUCGGACUCAACGCCGGGAAACUCACCAGAUAAGACAGUUGAAUGAUAGUCGGGCUGAAGACUCUACUUGACUAGCUGAGAGGAGGUGCAUGGCCGUCGUCAGUUCGUACUGUGAAGCAUCCUGUUAAGUCAGGCAACGAGCGAGACCCACGCCAACAGUUGCU